UCAGUGUGUUUCCAAGCUAAUAUUGCUUGAUUCACUUCAUUAAGAG
Molecule: unclassified non-coding RNA, 46 nt
Filed under: Acartia pacifica
Lineage: Eukaryota; Metazoa; Arthropoda; Copepoda; Calanoida; Acartiidae
Description: partial trans-spliced leader sequence
Source: RNAcentral